RNAcentral lists this ribosomal RNA (847 nucleotides) under Bolbitius aurantiorugosus. RNAcentral's name for it is "eukaryotic LSU rRNA". It matches the Rfam family "Eukaryotic large subunit ribosomal RNA", at positions 90 to 924 of the family's 3401-position model. The record is from RNAcentral. Lineage: Eukaryota; Fungi; Basidiomycota; Agaricomycetes; Agaricales; Bolbitiaceae.
CGAGUGAAGCGGGAAAAGCUCAAAUUUAAAAUCUGGCAGUCUUUGGCUGUCCGAGUUGUAAACUAGAGAAGUGUUAUCCGUGCUGGACCGUGUAAAAGUCUUCUGGAAUGGAGCAUCAUAGAGGGUGAGAAUCCCGUCUUUGACAUGGACUACCAGUGCAUUGUGAUGCGCUCUCAAAGAGUCGAGUUGUUUGGGAAUGCAGCUCAAAAUGGGUGGUAAAUUCCAUCUAAAGCUAAAUAUUGGCGAGAGACCGAUAGCGAACAAGUACCGUGAGGGAAAGAUGAAAAGAACUUUGGAAAGAGAGUUAAACAGUACGUGAAAUUGCUGAAAGGGAAACGCUUGAAGUCAGUCGCGUCGGCCAGGAAUCAACCUUGCUUUUGCUGGGCGUACUUUCUGGUUGACGGGUCAGCAUCAAUUUUGACUGUUGGAAAAAGUUUGAGGGAAUGUGGCAUCUUCGGAUGUGUUAUAGCCCUCUUUCGCAUACAGCAGUUGGGAUUGAGGUACUCAGCACGCCGCAAGGCCGGGUUUCGACCACGUUCGUGCUUAGGAUGCUGGCAUAAUGGCUUUAAUCGACCCGUCUUGAAACACGGACCAAGGAGUCUAACAUGCCUGCGAGUGUUUGGGUGGAAAACCCAAGCGCGCAAUGAAAGUAAAAGUUGAGAUCCCUGUCAUGGGGAGCAUCGACGCCCGGACCAGACCUUUUGUGACGGAUCUGCGGUAGAGCAUGUAUGUUGGGACCCGAAAGAUGGUGAACUAUGCCUGAAUAGGGUGAAGCCAGAGGAAACUCUGGUGGANGCUCGUAGCGAUUCUGACGUGCAAAUCGAUCGUCNAAUUUGGGUAUAGGGGC